RNAcentral lists this ribosomal RNA (74 nucleotides) under Jarava leptostachya. RNAcentral's name for it is "5.8S ribosomal RNA". It matches the Rfam family "5.8S ribosomal RNA", at positions 83 to 154 of the family's 154-position model. Rfam says of the family: 5.8S ribosomal RNA (5.8S rRNA) is a component of the large subunit of the eukaryotic ribosome. It is transcribed by RNA polymerase I as part of the 45S precursor that also contains 18S and 28S rRNA. The record is from RNAcentral. RNAcentral also lists the same sequence under 2 other names. Lineage: Eukaryota; Viridiplantae; Streptophyta; Magnoliopsida; Poales; Poaceae.
CGCGAACCAUCGAGUCUUUGAACGCAAGUUGCGCCCGAGACCACCCGGUUGAGGGCACGCCUGCCUGGGCGUCA